This 207-nucleotide ribosomal RNA is filed under the name uncultured bacterium. RNAcentral describes it as "partial 16S ribosomal RNA". It matches the Rfam family "Bacterial small subunit ribosomal RNA", at positions 568 to 774 of the family's 1533-position model. The record is from RNAcentral.
UUCGUAGGCGGUGCGGUAAGUCGGAAGUGAAAUCUCUGGGCUUAACUCAGAGGCUGCUUUCGAAACUGCCGUGCUGGAGUGCGGGAGAGGCGAGUGGAAUUGCAGGUGUAGCGGUGAAAUGCGUAGAUAUCUGCAGGAACACCCGUGGCGAAGGCGGCUCGCUGGACCGCAACUGACGCUGAGGAACGAAAGCUAGGGGGGCAAACA